CACCACGUAAAGGCAGACCUUCUGAGGUGCAGACUGGUCUGUGGCCUGGAGAAGGGACCGCAGCACUUCACCCCCCACAUGGGUGGCCUGAAGGAGGGGUUCUUCAACCUGAGAACCAACCUGCACUUCGUCCUGGAGAAGGAGGCUGGGAGAGAUGACCAGAGGAGGCAAGACUGGAUGCAGGUGUUAGACAAGAGCAAGGAAUGGGAGAAAAAGGCAUAAAAACUGGUGGACAGUUUAGAUUCUCUGCAGAGUCACCAGCUACUGGAAGAAGAAGGGGAUGAGAGGGAGACAAUAUAGAGCAGUAGCAUGGAGAAGUGGAGCAUCACCCUCCCCUCAUUCCCCUUCUGCUGUGACGAUGCCUCAGAGGAACCUCUCUAUGAGACCUGCUUCUCCAUAUCGCAAUGGGCAAUAUGUAGGCCGGGAGAAAAAGAUUGGGCAUAGCGCCCAUUGUGGGUUGAAGGAUUCUGAAGGCAUGCAGCAUUUACUAACAGUCCAAAAAAGACUGAAGAACCUCCAGUCAGAUGAAUUCCAGGGGAGUAUCAAGGGUUUACUUCGGAUGUCAUAGCAACAGCAGCUAAAAUAUUUGGGACCACUGAAUUACUGUACAACUGAGGGAAAUCCCAGUGCCUGACAAUAUGAGAAUUGUUAAAAUAAUCAGAAUGAUUUCAUGGCAA
Long non-coding RNA from Oncorhynchus masou masou (cherry salmon), 677 nucleotides. RefSeq lists it as uncharacterized. Lineage: Eukaryota; Metazoa; Chordata; Actinopteri; Salmoniformes; Salmonidae. The record is from RefSeq and is a predicted model, not a curated record. The transcript has 4 exons.